Molecule: ribosomal RNA, 495 nt
Filed under: uncultured bacterium
Lineage: Bacteria
Description: partial 16S ribosomal RNA
Rfam family: Bacterial small subunit ribosomal RNA
Source: RNAcentral
GACGAACGCUGGCGGCGUGCCUAAUACAUGCAAGUAGAACGCUGAAGGAGGAGCUUGCUUCUCUGGAUGAGUUGCGAGCGGGUGAGUAACGCGUAGGUAACCUGCCUGGUAGCGGGGGAUAACUAUUGGAAACGAUAGCUAAUACCGCAUAAGAGUAGAUGUUGCAUGACAUUUACUUAAAAGGUGCAAUUGCAUCACUACCAGAUGGACCUGCGUUGUAUUAGCUAGUUGGUGAGGUAACGGCUCACCAAGGCAACGAUACAUAGCCGACCUGAGAGGGGGGUCGGCCCCACUGGGACUGAGACACGGCCCCGACUCCUACGGGAGGCAGCAGUAGGGAAUCUUCGGCAAUAGACGGAAGUCUGACCGAGCAACGCCGCGUGAGUGAAGAAGGGUUUCGGAUCGUAAAGCUCUGUUGUAAGAGAAGAACGAGUGUGAGAGUGGAAAGUUCGCACUGUGACGGUAUCUUACCAGAAAGGGACGGCUAACUACGUG